CCUGGCCCUCUUUGAGUCUCCUCAGGGGAUCCUCUUUGUGGGAUUUGGGGCUCAGGAAACCAGAGAAAACAUUGAUUUUCUGGCUACUGCUAUUGCGGAACCAAGGCAGAACACUGCCAGACGGACAAACCGCAGAACCGGUCCAAACCAGAAAGGUCCAAGAUGGCUAGGGUGCUGUGCACUGGAGGAAACUUGCGCAAAGACGCCGUGUGCAAGAAGGGAAGAUCUGCGUAUGCCCCAACUGCCCCGCCCCAAACGGUGAGAAAUUUAUUUCAUGGGAGACCAACUCAGAGCAGUCCUGUACCAAAUCACAUGGCUCACUCCAUCCUCACAGUCCCAUCAGGAAGGCAGGAAAUCAGGCCAGAAGGAAG
This 371-nucleotide long non-coding RNA is filed under the name Equus caballus (horse). RNAcentral's name for it is "lncRNA (ENSECAG00000054497.1)". Lineage: Eukaryota; Metazoa; Chordata; Mammalia; Perissodactyla; Equidae. The record is from RNAcentral.